RNAcentral lists this ribosomal RNA (253 nucleotides) under uncultured bacterium. Its description in RNAcentral is "partial 16S ribosomal RNA". It matches the Rfam family "Bacterial small subunit ribosomal RNA", at positions 524 to 776 of the family's 1533-position model. The record is from RNAcentral.
UACGGAGGAGGCAAGCGUUAUCCGGAAUUACUGGGCGUAAAGGGCUCGUAGGCGGCCAACUAAGUCAGACGUGAAAUCCCUCGGCUUAACCGGGGAACUGCGUCUGAUACUGGAUGGCUUGAGUGUGGGAGAGGGAUGCGGAAUUCCAGGUGUAGCGGUGAAAUGCGUAGAUAUCUGGAGGAACACCGGUGGCGAAGGCGGCAUCCUGGACCAUUACUGACGCUGAUGAGCGAAAGCCAGGGGAGCAAACGGG